Molecule: RNA transcript, 3616 nt
Organism: Capra hircus (goat)
Lineage: Eukaryota; Metazoa; Chordata; Mammalia; Artiodactyla; Bovidae
Gene: RFT1
Gene name: RFT1 homolog
Exons: 14
Source: RefSeq, a predicted model, not a curated record
AGUCGCUUGUCGGCGGAGUUUCCUGAUGACAGAGCCCGUGCGCCGAGGCUAUGGGCAGCCGGGAGGUGCUGGGCCAGGCGGCUCGGUUGGCCUCCUCAGGUCUGCUCCUUCAGGUGUUGUUUCGAUUAAUCACCUUUGUCUUGAAUGCGUUUAUUCUUCGCUUCCUAUCGAAGGAAAUCGUUGGCAUAGUGAAUGUCAGGCUAACACUGCUUUACUCAACCACCCUCUUCCUGGCCAGAGAGGCCUUCCGUAGAGCAUGUCUGAGUGGGGCCGCCCAGCGAGACUGGAGCCAGACCCUCAACCUCCUAUGGCUCACAGUCCCUUUGGGUGUGUUUUGGUCCUUGUUCCUGGGCUGGGUCUGGCUACAGUUGCUCGAAGUGCCUGAUCCUCACGUCGUCCCCCACUAUGGAACUGGAGUGGUGAUGUUUGGCUUCUCAGCAGUGGUGGAACUUCUGGGAGAGCCCUUCUGGGUCUUGGCACAAGCACAUAUGUUUGUCAAGCUCAAGGUGAUUGCUGAGAGCCUGUCAGUAAUCCUCAAGAGCGUCCUGACAGCCCUUCUUGUGCUGUGGUUGCCUCACUGGGGGCUGUACGUUUUCUCUUUGGCCCAGCUUUUCUAUACUAUAGUUCUGGUGCUCUGCUAUGUUAUUUACUUUGCAAAGAUAUUGGGCUCCCCAGAAUCAGCCAAGCAACAAACUCUUCCUGUCUCCAGCAUGACAGAUCUGUUACCCAGUAUGACAAAAAGUAGAGCGUUUGUAAAUUGGGAAGAGGCUAAAUUGACUUGGAGUUUUUUCAAACAGUCUUUCCUGAAACAGAUUUUGACAGAAGGCGAGCGAUAUGUGAUGACAUUUUUGAACGUGUUAAAUUUUGGGGAUCAGGGUGUGUAUGAUAUAGUGAAUAAUCUUGGCUCCCUUGUGGCCAGAUUAAUUUUCCAGCCAAUAGAGGAGAGUUUUUAUAUAUUCUUUGCUAAGGUGCUAGAGAGAGAAAAGGACGCCACACUUCAGAAGCAGGAGGAUGUUGCUGUGGCUGCCGCGGUUUUGGAGUCCCUGCUAAAGCUGGCCCUGCUGACCGGCCUGACCAUCACUGUUUUCGGCUUUGCCUAUUCUCAGCUGGUUUUGGACAUCUAUGGAGGGGUCAUGCUUAGCUCAGGAUCAGGUCCUGUCCUACUGCGAGCCUACUGUCUUUACGUCCUCCUACUUGCCAUCAAUGGAGUGACUGAGUGUUUCACAUUUGCUGCCAUGAGCAAAGAGGAGGUAGACAGGUACAAUUUUACAAUGCUGGCCCUGUCGUCUUCCUUCCUGAUGUUAUCCUAUGUCCUGACCCGUUGGUGUGGCAGUGUGGGCUUCAUCUUGGCCAACUGCUUCAACAUGGGCAUUCGGAUCACGCAGAGCCUUCGCUUCAUCUACCGCUACUACCGGAAGAGCCCCCACAGGCCCCUGGCUGGCCUGUCCCUGCCACCAGUCCUCCUCGGGACGUUUGCCGUCAGUGGUGGCAUCACUGCUGCUUCAGAGGUGUUCCUCUGCUGUGAAUGGGGCUGGCUAGCCCGGCUGGCACACAUCGCUGUGGGGGCCCUCUGUCUGGGAGUGACCCUCGGGACAGCAUUCCUCACAGAAACCAAGCUGAUUCACUUUCUUAGGACUCAGUUAGGCAUGCCCAGACUCGCUGACAAAACGACAUGACCUUGUGGAAGCCGAGUGGCACCUGGAUCAGCUGUGGGGCGGUCCUGUGGGUGGCACACGUGUUCUGUGGAGGAGAGCCAGGCCGGGGGUCUGCAGUGCAGUGAGACCAACCCAGGCAGAGAACAGGGCAACUGCUACCAGAUGGUGGUUUACCUGAAGUGCACAAAUUGAAGUCCAGUGACCCAGGGAGCAUGGACACAUGUGUAGGCAUGGCUGAGUCUCUUCACUCUCCACCUGAAACUAUCACAGCUUUGGUAAUUGGCUAUACUUCAAUACAAAAUAAACCGCUUAUUGAAAAAAAAUUGUUUUAAUUAAGUAAAAAUAAAUCCACUGGUCCAAAGCCAGUGCCAAGAGGCCAAGGAUAAAGACCCCCUGAGACUAGGACCCAGUUACUUGGACACCUGUGUAUCUAGUCAAAGAGAGAGUGCUUUUGCAGGGACAGUAGGUAAAUGUAAGGUAUCACUGAGCAGCUAGAGGCCCUCCAGAAGCGUGGGCCUGGUCCUGUGUUGUCAGGCAGGGUCAGCCCAGCUCAGAGGAACUGAUUGCUCCAUGGGGUAGGGCACAUAGAGAAGGCAGCCCUGCCUCUCAAGUACUUUUUUGCUCUCUUGAACACACAGACAUGAGCCUCUAGCCCUCGCAAUUUCCGGUUGACCACCCCUCUCUCUGCUAGGACCCUGUCACUCAACCCUGUCCCACUUAACCCCAGACUCAAAGUGUGGGCCUCACGCCACCUGCUUCAGAAUCUCCUGGGUUGCAAGUCAGAAAUGUAGGUUUCCAGGGUCCCUCCAGACCUUUGGCAUCUGCGUCUCUAGGGUGGGGCUUUGGGACCAGCUUUUUCGGCAAACCAGGGUUGGCAUACCCCGGCAUCCUCACCCGAGUCAGGACCCAGGGCCAGUUCCUCUCAUGUCACGGUAUCUGUGCCCAGUUCUAGGAAGAAAGCCGCCUUUGCCUGAGUAGCAUCACUGACUCCCUAGCUCCUCAGGAGCAUGAGUUCCACGGCUCCCACUCUGCUUUUCUGCCCGGAGAAGCUCUGCAUCUGACGGCGAGGGUGCAUCUCAUCUCGUACUGCCAGGCAGGGCCAGCUCCUCUGGCGAGAUGGCCAGCAGGGAUGGUCACCCAGGGCUCUUUGCUGUGACCUGCUUCCUCAUUUAUAGAAAGAGGAGUUCUCGUAGCCCAGGCUUUUGGGAAACAGGUGUUUUCCCAUUACUAACACCUGCUUCCUGGGCUCCAGCACUUGGGCAGCAGGCCCCGUGUGGCCCAUGGUCUCUGUCUCCACUCGGCUGCUCCCUGCAGCGCAGCUGGGCCCGACCACUGGCUCUUGGGCUUCCCCACCCCCCACCCCCUAGAGCUGCACCUGGGUCUGGAGGGGCUGGCCUACAAGGGUGCUGAGCCACCCCACGUUACCCAGGAAGGAACUGGGGGGAAAAUCACACUUCAGGCCUUAAGUACCACUUAAAAUAUAAGUGAGGCCACCUCUCCAUGGAAGCAAGUCUCUAAAGCACAUCCAUUUAUGAAACAGAAACCUUUGAUGGUGAGAGCGACUGCAUUCCGUCUUUCUGUGCUGCCCUGGCCACACAAGUGUUGGUGACGUGGGGUUUGGCCUGUCAGGUCCCUCUGUCAGCAGCUGCUGCUGUGCCACUUAAAGCUUCUUUAGCAGUGACUCCAGGCUCUGGCGGUGUGUAUGCUCUGCCUCACCCUCUGCCGCUUAACAGCCUGAUUCACCAGGACACCUCCUUCCUCCUGCCUUUUUUUUUUUUAAUACUUGGGUUUAUAUUGCUAGUUUCAUGUCAGUUUCCUGUGUGUAUGCUCUGCCCCACCCGCUGCCAUUUACUAACCUAUUUCACCAGGGCACCUCUUUCCUCCUGCCCCUUUUAAAAAAAAAAAAAACAACCAGUGUAUUCAUAUUGCUAGUUUCACGUCAAUUUUCCAAUUUUAAAAUG